UUCAGAGGAUACUGUAAGUCGCUCUGGAUAAGAGCGUCUGCUAAAUGACUAAAA
Molecule: non-coding RNA, 54 nt
Organism: Salmo salar (Atlantic salmon)
Lineage: Eukaryota; Metazoa; Chordata; Actinopteri; Salmoniformes; Salmonidae
Source: Rfam